Molecule: small nuclear RNA, 317 nt
Filed under: Carlito syrichta (Philippine tarsier)
Lineage: Eukaryota; Metazoa; Chordata; Mammalia; Primates; Tarsiidae
Description: 7SK RNA (ENSTSYG00000026227.1)
Rfam family: 7SK RNA
About the family: 7SK was discovered as an abundant small nuclear RNA in the mid-70s but a possible function has only recently been suggested. Two independent studies have found that 7SK RNA binds the CDK9/cyclin T complex (known as elongation factor P-TEFb).
Source: Rfam by way of RNAcentral
GGAUGUGAGAGCCAUCAGGCUGUGACAUAAGACAUCUCAAUUGACUGCAGGGUCUUAUUUAGUUGGUAGAGUAGACUGUGUUCCCUUCUUCCUUUUACAUCCAUGUGCGUCCCUUCCCCCAGAAGCUGUGAUAUCGGUCAAAGCAAGUAACUUCUGUAAUGGAAGAAGUCUAUUCUUGGUCAAGGGCAUGUGAGUGCACAUGUUCCCCUAUUAGAGCACUAAUAGAACUAUCCUAUUUGAGCCAAACAAGCUCUCAAGAAGUAAUGAGGUGACUCAGUAAGUCGUGGGACACAGUAAGAGGCUGUUUGCUCCGCCAU